CGGCAGGCUUAACACAUGCAAGUCGAACGCCCCGCAAGGGGAGUGGCAGACGGGUGAGGAACACGUGGGAACGUACCCUUUGGUUCGGAACAACCCUGGGAAACUAGGGCUAAUACCGGAUACGAGCGAGAGCUGAAAGGUUUACCGCCGAAGGAUCGGCCCGCGUCUGAUUAGCUAGUUGGUGAGGUAAUGGCUCACCAAGGCGACGAUCAGUAGCUGGUCUGAGAGGAUGAUCAGCCACAUUGGGACUGAGACACGGCCCAAACUCCUACGGGAGGCAGCAGUGGGGAAUAUUGGACAAUGGGCGCAAGCCUGAUCCAGCCAUGCCGCGUGAGUGAUGACGGCCCUAGGGUUGUAAAGCUCUUUUACCCGGGAAGAUAAUGACGGUACCGGGAGAAUAAGCCCCGGCUAACUUCGUGCCAGCAGCCGCGGUAAUACGAAGGGGGCUAGCGUUGUUCGGAUUUACUGGGCGUAAAGCGCACGUAGGCGGACGCUUAAGUCAGGGGUGAAAUCCCGAGGCUCAACCUCGGAACU
This 534-nucleotide ribosomal RNA is filed under the name uncultured bacterium. RNAcentral describes it as "bacterial SSU rRNA". It matches the Rfam family "Bacterial small subunit ribosomal RNA", at positions 40 to 622 of the family's 1533-position model. The record is from RNAcentral.